AACGAACGCUGGCGGCAUGCCUAACACAUGCAAGUCGAACGAGACCUUCGGGUCUAGUGGCGCACGGGUGCGUAACGCGUGGGAACCUGCCCUUAGGUUCGGAAUAACUCCCCGAAAGGGGUGCUAAUACCGGAUAAUGUCUUCGGACCAAAGAUUUAUCGCCUUUGGAUGGGCCCGCGUUGGAUUAGCUAGUUGGUAGGGUAAAAGCCUACCAAGGCGACGAUCCAUAGCUGGUCUGAGAGGAUGAUCAGCCACACUGGGACUGAGACACGGCCCAGACUCCUACGGGAGGCAGCAGUGGGGAAUAUUGGACAAUGGGCGAAAGCCUGAUCCAGCAAUGCCGCGUGAGUGAUGAAGGCCUUAGGGUUGUAAAGCUCUUUUAUCCGGGAUGAUAAUGACAGUACCGGGAGAAUAAGCACCGGCUAACUACGUG
RNAcentral lists this ribosomal RNA (433 nucleotides) under uncultured bacterium. RNAcentral describes it as "partial 16S ribosomal RNA". It matches the Rfam family "Bacterial small subunit ribosomal RNA", at positions 29 to 507 of the family's 1533-position model. The record is from RNAcentral.